Molecule: long non-coding RNA, 529 nt
Filed under: Homo sapiens (human)
Lineage: Eukaryota; Metazoa; Chordata; Mammalia; Primates; Hominidae
Description: non-protein coding lnc-ANKLE2-2:2
Source: RNAcentral
AGGACGCGGGGCAGCCUUGCGCGAAGGGGCGUUUUCGUGGAGCCACCUGCCGCGCCACGCUCCAGUCCCGUCACUUGUGCUCGCGAGCGCCGGUGCGCGCAGGUGCGGGCGGGGUUGUGGGGACGCCGGGAGGGCGGCGCGGUACUUUCCAGAAGGUUCCGCACCGGAAGCGCCUGCCGAGGCCGGAGGCUGGGUGCAGGGGCGGAGACGCGGAGAACUUGGGAUCCUGGUUUAAGGGAGCUGGGAAGCUGCCGCAGAAAUGAGGUCUCGCUGUGUUGCCCAGGCUGGUCUCAAAUUCCUGGCCUCAAGCAAUCUUCCUGCCUCGGCCUCCCAAAGUACUGGGAUGACAGGCAUGAGCCACCACGACCAGAUGCAUGGUAAAUUUUGUGUUUUAUGUAUCGUACCACACACACGAAAAUUUAAAAAACAUCUGGCUAUGCAUGUCUUUCAAAGCAACAGCAAUUGUUCUGAGAGAUUAAAGUCACCAUUGAAGAACCUGCAUUAUCGUUUAUUGUGAUCCUAAUUCGGU